AAAAAGUUUGAUUUUGGCUUAAUCUUUAUUAUAACUUUGUUUUACAUGUAAGUUUUUGCGUGAACUCCUAAAAUUUUAAAUAAAUUUUGGUUAAAUUUUAUUCGCAGUAUUUGAUAUUGAAUAUUAAAUUAUUUUAGAUUCGGUAAAAGUUAAAGUACAGGAUAAAUUUGUGCCAGCAUCUGCGGUUAUACAAAUUGUACAAAUAAAGCUUUUUGGUUAGUAGUUAAUUUAUUAUUAAUAAAGAUUAUUAAAUUAAAUUUUUUAGGUGAAAUUUAAUUUUAUUUAUAAAUUUUUGUUUAAUGAUGAAGCUAUGAAAUUUUUGUUUUAAACUAGGAUUAGAUACCCUAUUAUUAAAAAUGUAAAUUUAUCAAGCCUGGGUAGUAUUAGGUAUGAUCUUGAAACCUAAAAAAUUUGGCGGUGCCUUAGUCUAUUUAGAGGAACCUGUUCCGUGAUCGAUAGUCCACGAUAAAUUUUACUAGCUUUUGUUUAGUUUAUAUACCGUCGUUAUCAGAAUAUUUUAUAAGAAUAUAAUUUUCUUAAAUUUUAAUAAAAAUUUAUUUCAGAUCAAGGUGUAGCUUAUGAGUUAGAGGAAAUGGGUUACAAUAAAAUAAUUUAUAACGGAUUUAAUGUUGUAAUAUGUUAUUUAAGGUGGAUUUAAUAGUAAAUUAAGUUAUAUUACUUUUUUGAUUAUAGCUCUAAGACAUGUACAUAUCGCCCGUCGCUCUUUUUAAUUAAAGAUAAGUCGUAACAUAGUAGGUGUACUGGAAAGUGUAUCUAGAAUGCA
RNAcentral lists this non-coding RNA (784 nucleotides) under Distoleon nigricans. Lineage: Eukaryota; Metazoa; Arthropoda; Insecta; Neuroptera; Myrmeleontidae. The record is from RNAcentral.